AAGAGCUCCCAUCAGGUCAUCUUCAUCAUCAGCCAUGUUCUCUGCAGCUCUGAUACUGCUGCUGACAGCUGCAUCCUGUGUCAGCAGUAUUGAUCUCAUCCAGCCAGGAUCAAUGGUUGUGCAGCCUGGACAGACUCUGACCAUCACCUGUCAGCUCUCUGGUUACUCUAUCACUGAUAACAGCUAUGCUACAGGCUGGAUCAGACAGUGUGAAGGUAAACCCAUGGACUGGAUCUCUCACAUGUGGGGUGAUGGAACUUUUUACCAAAAUAAUGUUCUGAAGAACAAGUUCAGCUACAGCAGAGACACUUCUGCUGGGACAGUGACUCUCACAGGACAGAACAUGCAGCCUGCAGACACAGCUGUGUAUUACUGUGUGAGGAGAGACACAGUGAGAGAGAAGAACGACAGAGGUUCACAAAAACAACUUCCUCUUUUCUCAACUAUCAUUUGGAUCCUUCAUCCCAGCAACACUUCAUUCAGUGAUAAAACAAAAGUUCAAAAUGUUGAAUUAAUCAAUUCAUAUUCCAUGAUUUGGGUGAACACCUGAUUCUGAUUGGUCACAGGAUAUCGAUUUAUUUCAUGAUUUUCAAUUUCUUUGACUAUGGACUUUACAGCUGCAUGAUAUUGGUACAAAGCUGUUAUAUGAAUUUCCCUCUGCAAUAUACAUAAGCGAAAUGAAAAUGCAGAAAAUCAUGAUGUGUUUUUUAUGAUUAUAUUGAGCAUGCUAAUUGUAAAAAUGUAUGGUUUGUGGCUGCAUUUUCAAUAUUUUGUUAAUGAAGAUUGGAAAACAAAGACUGGACUGCAUGCGUGUUAUCCCUCCCAUUAUCUGCUGUAUUUCUGCCAUUCUUCAUGUUUUAUGUGACUUA
Non-coding RNA from Cheilinus undulatus (humphead wrasse), 869 nucleotides. Lineage: Eukaryota; Metazoa; Chordata; Actinopteri; Labriformes; Labridae. The record is from the annotation of a RefSeq genome assembly.